This 253-nucleotide ribosomal RNA is filed under the name uncultured bacterium. RNAcentral's name for it is "partial 16S ribosomal RNA". It matches the Rfam family "Bacterial small subunit ribosomal RNA", at positions 524 to 776 of the family's 1533-position model. The record is from RNAcentral.
UACGUAGGGUGCAAGCGUUAAUCGGAAUUACUGGGCGUAAAGCGUGCGCAGGCGGUUUCUGAAGUCCGUUGUGAAAGCCCCGGGCUUAACCUGGGAAUGGCAGUGGAAACUAGGAGACUUGAAUCUGGCAGAGGGGGGUGGAAUGCCACGUGUAGCAGUGAAAUGCGUAGAGAUGUGGCGGAACACCGAUGGCGAAGGCAGCCCCCUGGGUCAAGAUUGACGCUCAGGCACGAAAGCGUGGGGAGCAAACAGG